GAUGAACGCUGGCGGCGUGCUUAACACAUGCAAGUCGAACGGAAAGGCCCAAGCUUGCUUGGGUACUCGAGUGGCGAACGGGUGAGUAACACGUGGGUGAUCUGCCCUGCACUUCGGGAUAAGCCUGGGAAACUGGGUCUAAUACCGGAUAGGACGAUGGUUUGGAUGCCAUUGUGGAAAGUUUUUUCGGUGUGGGAUGAGCUCGCGGCCUAUCAGCUUGUUGGUGGGGUAAUGGCCUACCAAGGCGUCGACGUGUAGCCGGCCUGAGAGGGUGUACGGCCACACUGGGACUGAGAUACGGCCCAGACUCGUACGGGAGGCAGCAGGGGGGAAUAUUGCACAAUGGGCGCAAGCCUGAUGCAGCGACGCCGCGUGGGGGAUGACGGCCGUCGGGUUGUAAGCUCCUUUCGCUAGGGACGAAGCGUUUUUGUGACGGUACCUGGAGAAGAAGCACCGGCUAACUACGUG
This 468-nucleotide ribosomal RNA is filed under the name uncultured bacterium. RNAcentral describes it as "partial 16S ribosomal RNA". It matches the Rfam family "Bacterial small subunit ribosomal RNA", at positions 28 to 507 of the family's 1533-position model. The record is from RNAcentral.